This 545-nucleotide ribosomal RNA is filed under the name uncultured bacterium. RNAcentral's name for it is "bacterial SSU rRNA". It matches the Rfam family "Bacterial small subunit ribosomal RNA", at positions 100 to 651 of the family's 1533-position model. The record is from RNAcentral.
GGACGGGUGAGUAAUGUCUGGGAAACUGCCUGAUGGAGGGGGAUAACUACUGGAAACGGUAGCUAAUACCGCAUAACGUCGCAAGACCAAAGAGGGGGACCUUCGGGCCUCUUGCCAUCAGAUGUGCCCAGAUGGGAUUAGCUAGCAGGUGGGGUAAUGGCUCACCUACGCGACGAUCCCUAGCUGGUCUGAGAGGAUGACCACCCACACUGGAACUGACACACGGUCCACACUCCUACGGGAGGCAGCAGUGGUGUAUUAUUGCGCAAUGGGCGCAGCCUGAUGCAGCCAUGCCUGAGUGUGAAGAAGGCCUUCGGGUUGUUUGUACUUUCAGCGAGGAGGAGGUGUUGAGCUUAAUACUCUCAGUUUUUGACGUUACUAGAAGAAGAAGCACCGGCUACUCCGUGCCAGCAGCCGCGGUAGUGCGGCGGUGCAAGCGUUAAUCGUAGUUACUGGGCGUAAAGCGCACGCAGCUGUCUGUAAAUCGAUGUCACUCCCCGGACUCAACCUGUGACUGCAUUCGAGACUGGCAAGCUAGAGUCUUG